GGCGAGGGGAGUGAAAAAGAACCUGAAACCGUGUACGUACAAGCAGUGGGAGCACAGGUUUACCUGUGUGACUGCGUACCUUUUGUAUAAUGGGUCAGCGACUUAUAUUCUGUAGCAAGGUUAACCGAAUAGGGGAGCCGGAGGGAAACCGAGUCUUAACCGGGCGUUAAGUUGCAGGGUAUAGACCCGAAACCCGGUGAUCUAGCCAUGGGCAGGUUGAAGGUUGGGUAACACUAACUGGAGGACCGAACCGAC
RNAcentral lists this ribosomal RNA (255 nucleotides) under Salmonella enterica subsp. enterica serovar Infantis. RNAcentral's name for it is "partial 23S ribosomal RNA". It matches the Rfam family "Bacterial large subunit ribosomal RNA", at positions 528 to 783 of the family's 2925-position model. The record is from RNAcentral. Lineage: Bacteria; Pseudomonadati; Pseudomonadota; Gammaproteobacteria; Enterobacterales; Enterobacteriaceae. RNAcentral also lists the same sequence under 1 other name.